GCAGGGAUAGCUUAGUUGCGAGAGCGUUAAAUUGAAGAUUUGAAGGUCGUGUGUUUGAUCCAUGCUUAUCGUA
Non-coding RNA from Musa acuminata subsp. malaccensis (wild Malaysian banana), 73 nucleotides. Lineage: Eukaryota; Viridiplantae; Streptophyta; Magnoliopsida; Zingiberales; Musaceae. The record is from Rfam.